Molecule: ribosomal RNA, 497 nt
Filed under: uncultured bacterium
Lineage: Bacteria
Description: partial 16S ribosomal RNA
Rfam family: Bacterial small subunit ribosomal RNA
Source: RNAcentral
GAUGAACGCUGGCGGCGUGCCUAAUACAUGCAAGUCGAGCGAACGGACGAGAAGCUUGCUUUUCUGAUGUUAGCGGCGGACGGGUGAGUAACACGUGGAUAACCUACCUAUAAGACUGGGAUAACUUCGGGAAACCGGAGCUAAUACCGGAUAAUAUUUUGAACCGCAUGGUUCAAAAGUGAAAGACGGUCUUGCUGUCACUUAUAGAUGGAUCCGCGCUGCAUUAGCUAGUUGGUAAGGUAACGGCUUACCAAGGCAACGAUGCAUAGCCGACCUGAGAGGGUGAUCGGCCACACUGGAACUGAGACACGGUCCAGCCGCCUACGGGAGGCAGCAGUAGGGAAUCUUCCGCGAUGGGCGAAAGCCUGACGGAGCAACGCCGCUUGAGUGAUGAAGGUCUUCUGAUCUUAAAACUCUGUUAUUAGGGAAGAACAUAUGUGUAAGUAACUGUGCACAUCUUGACGGUACCUAAUCGGAAAGCCACGGGUAACUAGGUG